Molecule: ribosomal RNA, 460 nt
Filed under: uncultured bacterium
Lineage: Bacteria
Description: partial 16S ribosomal RNA
Rfam family: Bacterial small subunit ribosomal RNA
Source: RNAcentral
CCUACGGGUGGCUGCAGUGAGGAAUAUUGGUCAAUGGACGAGAGUCUGAACCAGCCAAGUAGCGUGAAGGAUGACUGCCCUAUGGGUUGUAAACUUCUUUUAUAUGGGAAUAAAAUGUUCCACGUGUGGGAUUUUGUAUGUACCAUAUGAAUAAGGAUCGGCUAACUCCGUGCCAGCAGCCGCGGUAAUACGGAGGAUCCGAGCGUUAUCCGGAUUUAUUGGGUUUAAAGGGAGCGUAGGUGGAUUGUUAAGUCAGUUGUGAAAGUUUGCGGCUUAACCGGAAAAUUGCCGUUGAUACUGGCAGUCUUGAGUACAGUAGAGGUGGGCGGAAUUCGUGGUGUAGCGGUGAAAUGCUUAGAUAUCACGAAGAACUCCGAUUGCGAAGGCAGUUCACUGGACUGCAACUGACACUGAGGCUCGAAAGUGUGGGUAUCAAACAGGAUUAGAUACCCUGGUAGUC